RNAcentral lists this non-coding RNA (108 nucleotides) under Clostridium carboxidivorans. RNAcentral's name for it is "SAM-I sequence". It matches the Rfam family "SAM riboswitch aptamer (S box leader)". Rfam says of the family: The SAM riboswitch is found upstream of a number of genes which code for proteins involved in methionine or cysteine biosynthesis in Gram-positive bacteria. The SAM riboswitch acts at the level of transcription termination control. The record is from RNAcentral. Lineage: Bacteria; Bacillati; Bacillota; Clostridia; Eubacteriales; Clostridiaceae. RNAcentral also lists the same sequence under 1 other name.
UUCUUAUCCAGAGUGGCGGAGGGACUGGCCCUGUGAAGCCCGACAACCAGCAUUUUUCAUUUGAAUGUAUGGUGUUAAUUCCAGCAGGUAAAACCUGAAAGAUGAGAA